GCUCCAUAUGCUCCCCUGCUAAUUGUUGGGCACUAGGUCGUCUUUCUGGAAAGGGUCGAGAAAACAGAAGUCCUCAGUGAAGAUCUGCUACAGACGGCGGGGGCAGAGACACAGGCAGAGGGAGAAGCAGGCUCCAUGCCGGGAGCCCGACACGGGACUCGAUCCCGGGACUCCAGGAUCGCACCCUGGACCAACGGCAGGCGCCAAAGAGCCACCCAGGGAUCCCC
Molecule: long non-coding RNA, 227 nt
Organism: Nyctereutes procyonoides (raccoon dog)
Lineage: Eukaryota; Metazoa; Chordata; Mammalia; Carnivora; Canidae
Exons: 3
Source: RefSeq, a predicted model, not a curated record